This 925-nucleotide long non-coding RNA is filed under the name Nicotiana benthamiana. RNAcentral's name for it is "long non-coding RNA (NBEN_LNC007466)". The record is from RNAcentral. Lineage: Eukaryota; Viridiplantae; Streptophyta; Magnoliopsida; Solanales; Solanaceae.
CCAGUGUUGCUUCUUCUUUCUAUAGACACCCUAAGCAGCCAUUACCAACAAACCUCACCAAAGACCACCCCUGAACCCCCCCUCCUCCAAUAUUCUUCUCUAACACAAAACCAGUCGUUAUCCCUAGACCCUACACGACCAAAAACAUAGAGACUCCAAAACAAAACGGACCAUGCCAUUCUUCUUCAAUUUCGGAGACACCCUUUGGAGACCCCUCAUCUUCAGUUUCUUCUCCACUCGUUUCCCUUACAACAAACGACCCCAUCUCCACCGAAAAUAGACUCUAAGACCUAACCUUCAAUGCCCGUUAAAAUACAUCUCCUUAUCAACCAAAGAACACACCUAAAUUCACAGCCAUCCCACUUUUUCACAAGAACCCAACCAGUGGUCUUUCUCCACCACCUGCUAGAACAGCAGUCGCCCAAGUGGCCGGACUUCACAACUCACCAAAGUAGCCAUCGCCAGAACCCUAGCUCCUCCUCAGCGAGAACCAACCACCGCCACCUAACCCCUAAUCUCUCAACUCACCCCUAGCUUCGAAACACACAGCCAGCAGUAACACCCCCACCAAAAACACGCACACAUGCGCAAAUGGAGGGCAACGACAAUGGGAGAACGAAAUUCAGAGGGAGGAGACGAGUUCAUUCUAUAAAUAGAUUGGAUAAUAGCUUCGAUCAAGGUUCUAGUCGCUUGGUUCAUUUAAUUAUUUUUUGUUUAAAUUUCGGACGUUAUUCGAUUGGGAUUACGACAAGACAUUCCAAUAUAGAUCUUGUCCGUGGUUUUGACAUUUACGAUUUUGUUUUUGAGGUCCAUUUCUAAACCUUGUGUUUAGUUUUAAUGUCCUUCCUUGUGUGAUUUGAUAGUGAAUGAAGUUUUGUUUGAUUCUAAUUUUUCCAGAUGUGUGCAUAUGGCUAUUUUAUCUUCC